AUUGAACGCUGGCGGCAUGCCUUACACAUGCAAGUCGAACGGUAACAGGUUAAGCUGACGAGUGGCGAACGGGUGAGUAAUGUAUCGGAACGUGCCCAGUCGUGGGGGAUAACUGCUCGAAAGAGCAGCUAAUACCGCAUACGACCUGCGGGUGAAAGCGGGGGAUCGCAAGACCUCGCGCGAUUGGAGCGGCCGAUAUCAGAUUAGGUAGUUGGUGAGGUAAAGGCUCACCAAGCCGACGAUCUGUAGCUGGUCUGAGAGGAGGACCAGCCACACUGGGACUGAGACACGGCCCAGACUCCUACGGGAGGCAGCAGUGGGGAAUUUUGGACAAUGGGCGCAAGCCUGAUCCAGCCAUGCCGCGUGCGGGAAGAAGGCCUUCGGGUUGUAAACCGCUUUUGUCAGGGAAGAAAAGGUUCUGGCUAAUACCUGGGACUCAUGACGGUACCUGAAGAAUAAGCACCGGCUAACUACGUG
This 477-nucleotide ribosomal RNA is filed under the name uncultured bacterium. RNAcentral describes it as "partial 16S ribosomal RNA". It matches the Rfam family "Bacterial small subunit ribosomal RNA", at positions 30 to 507 of the family's 1533-position model. The record is from RNAcentral.